This 1287-nucleotide ribosomal RNA is filed under the name metagenome. Its description in RNAcentral is "bacterial SSU rRNA". It matches the Rfam family "Bacterial small subunit ribosomal RNA", at positions 242 to 1520 of the family's 1533-position model. The record is from RNAcentral.
UAGCUAGUUGGUGAGGUAAAGGCUUACCAAGGCGACGAUCUGUAGCGGGUCUGAGAGGAUGAUCCGCCACACUGGAACUGAGACACGGUCCAGACUCCUACGGGAGGCAGCAGUGGGGAAUUUUGGACAAUGGGGGCAACCCUGAUCCAGCCAUGCCGCGUGAGUGAAGAAGGCCUUCGGGUUGUAAAGCUCUUUCGGCCGGGAAGAAAUCGCAUGGGCCAAUACCCUGUGUGGAUGACGGUACCGGAAUAAGAAGCACCGGCUAACUACGUGCCAGCAGCCGCGGUAAUACGUAGGGUGCGAGCGUUAAUCGGAAUUACUGGGCGUAAAGCGUGCGCAGGCGGUUUUGUAAGACAGGCGUGAAAUCCCCGGGCUUAACCUGGGAACUGCGUUUGUGACUGCAAGGCUAGAGUACGGCAGAGGGGGGUGGAAUUCCACGUGUAGCAGUGAAACGCGUAGAGAUGUGGAGGAACACCAAUGGCGAAGGCAGCCCCCUGGGUCGAUACUGACGCUCAUGUACGAAAGCGUGGGUAGCAAACAGGAUUAGAUACCCUGGUAGUCCACGCCCUAAACUAUGUCAACUAGGUGUUGGGUGGGUAAAACCAUUUAGUACCGUAGCUAACGCGUGAAGUUGACCGCCUGGGGAGUACGGCCGCAAGGUUAAAACUCAAAGGAAUUGACGGGGACCCGCACAAGCGGUGGAUGAUGUGGAUUAAUUCGAUGCAACGCGAAAAACCUUACCUACCCUUGACAUGCCAGGAACUUGCCAGAGAUGGCUUGGUGCCCGAAAGGGAGCCUGGACACAGGUGCUGCAUGGCUGUCGUCAGCUCGUGUCGUGAGAUGUUGGGUUAAGUCCCGCAACGAGCGCAACCCUUGUCGUUAAUUGCCAUCAUUUAGUUGGGCACUUUAACGAGACUGCCGGUGACAAACCGGAGGAAGGUGGGGAUGACGUCAAGUCCUCAUGGCCCUUAUGGGUAGGGCUUCACACGUCAUACAAUGGUCGGUACAAAGGGUUGCCAAGCCGCGAGGCGGAGCCAAUCCCAGAAAGCCGAUCGUAGUCCGGAUUGCAGGCUGCAACUCGCCUGCAUGAAGUCGGAAUCGCUAGUAAUCGUGGAUCAGCAUGUCACGGUGAAUACGUUCCCGGGUCUUGUACACACCGCCCGUCACACCAUGGGAGCGGGUUCCGCCAGAAGUAGGUAGCCUAACCGCAAGGGGGGCGCUUACCACGGCGGGGUUCGUGACUGGGGUGAAGUCGUAACAAGGUAGCCGUAGGGGAACCUGCGGCUG